GACCCCAUGACGAGGAGCUGGUGGCCCUUGGCGAGGAGCUCUUGACGAGCUUCCGAGAGGACGUGAUUGAGCAGUACAAUAGAGAAGAUGGAAAGAAAACCCGGGCAAACGGAAAUGGAUGGAAUUCAAAGACUGGAGUCGCAUCUCGGACAUAGGUUCUCGAGGUAGCACCCUUCCAUCCAGCUGUUUAGAUCGCUGAUCCUGAAGGAUGACUUAUGUACCCCUAUGUUGCGGAGAAAACCUAAAGGGAUUUUUAUACAACAAUAAAAAUACAUCUAAUUAAU
This is a non-coding RNA of Drosophila takahashii, 284 nucleotides long. Lineage: Eukaryota; Metazoa; Arthropoda; Insecta; Diptera; Drosophilidae. The record is from RefSeq and is a predicted model, not a curated record.